This 660-nucleotide ribosomal RNA is filed under the name uncultured Lachnospiraceae bacterium. RNAcentral describes it as "bacterial SSU rRNA". It matches the Rfam family "Bacterial small subunit ribosomal RNA", at positions 71 to 743 of the family's 1533-position model. Lineage: Bacteria; Bacillati; Bacillota; Clostridia; Lachnospirales; Lachnospiraceae. The record is from RNAcentral.
AAGUUUUCGGAUGGAAGUUAAAUUGACUGAGCGGCGGACGGGUGAGUAACGCGUGGGUAACCUGCCUCAUACAGGGGGAUAACAGUUAGAAAUGACUGCUAAUACCGCAUAAGCGCACAACAUCGCAUGAUGCAGUGUGAAAAACUCCGGUGGUAUGAGAUGGACCCGCGUCUGAUUAGCUAGUUGGUGAGGUAAAGGCCCACCAAGGCGACGAUCAGUAGCCGACCUGAGAGGGUGAUCGGCCACAUUGGGACUGAGACACGGCCCAAACUCCUACGGGAGGCAGCAGUGGGGAAUAUUGCACAAUGGGGGAAACCCUGAUGCAGCAACGCCGCGUGAGUGAAGAAGUAUUUCGGUAUGUAAAGCUCUAUCAGCAGGGAAGAAAAUGACGGUACCUGACUAAGAAGCCCCGGCUAACUACGUGCCAGCAGCCGCGGUAAUACGUAGGGGGCAAGCGUUAUCCGGAUUUACUGGGUGUAAAGGGAGCGUAGACGGCGAAGCAAGUCUGAAGUGAAAGCCCGGGGCUUAACCCCGGGACUGCUUUGGAAACUGUUUUGCUAGAGUGCUGGAGAGGUAAGUGGAAUUCCUAGUGUAGCGGUGAAAUGCGUAGAUAUUAGGAGGAACACCAGUGGCGAAGGCGGCUUACUGGACAGUAACUGA